CGAGGUAAGUAUUGGAAAGUCUUCGGACGGGAAGAUACUUACCGAGUGGCGGACGGGUGAGUAACGCGUGGGUAACCUGCCUCAUACAGGGGGAUAACAGUCAGAAAUGGCUGCUAAUACCGCAUAAGCGCACAGUGUCACAUGACACGGUGUGAAAAACUCUGGUGGUAUGAGAUGGACCCGCGUCUGAUUAGCUAGUUGGUAAGGUAAUGGCUUACCAAGGCGACGAUCAGUAGCCGACCUGAGAGGGUGACCGGCCACAUUGGGACUGAGACACGGCCCAAACUCCUACGGGAGGCAGCAGUGGGGAAUAUUGCACAAUGGGGGAAACCCUGAUGCAGCGACGCCGCGUGAGUGAUGAAGUAUUUCGGUAUGUAAAGCUCUAUCAGCAAGGAAGAAAAAAGACGGUACUUGACUGAGAAGCCCCGGCUAACUACGUGCCAGCAGCCGCGGUAAUACGUAGGGGGCAAGCGUUAUCCGGAUUUACUGGGUGUAAAGGGAGCGUAGACGGCAUGGCAAGUCAGAAGUGAAAGCCCGGGGUCAACCCCGUGGACUGCUUUUGAAACUGCUAAGCUAGAGUGCAGGAGAGGUAAGUGGAAUUCCUAGUGUAGCGGUGAAAUGCGUAGAUAUUAGGAGGAACACCAGUGGCGAAGGCGGCUUACUGGACUGUAACUGACGUUGAGGCUCGAAAGCGUGGGGAGCAAACA
RNAcentral lists this ribosomal RNA (707 nucleotides) under uncultured bacterium. RNAcentral describes it as "bacterial SSU rRNA". It matches the Rfam family "Bacterial small subunit ribosomal RNA", at positions 58 to 774 of the family's 1533-position model. The record is from RNAcentral.